UCCGAAGACCGGGAAGGGGAAUAGACUGGGAAGGAACAUAGUGGCUAUCUGGUUCUCUGGAAGUAGCUGUGUCUUGCCUCUUCAGUGUCGUACUUGACUCCAUACUCACACUCACCUCACACAGCCACCGCCCUAAUACAGAUUUGACAUACCUGCCAUGAAUAUUCUUCUAGGAGGCUGAGGAAGCUAUUUUAACCUCAAGUAUCUAGAGGAAGAAAAUGCCUGACCCAACAUGAGAAAAAGACCUGUGAUUUCAUCAUUGAAAGGAACUACCAGCCAGGAGCUUCCUCCAUCAAAUAACAUCAACCCCCUCUCCGCACCUUAUAGUCUUAGAGAGCUGAUUGAAGUAGAAAAUUAAUUGAGGUUAAAUGAGUUGCCCAAGGUCACACAGCCAGGAUGAGGCAGGAAUUGGAUGCCAGUCUUCUGAGGCUGGUUAUCUACCCACUACGACAUGCUGUGCCCUGAUCUUUACCCAGGAAGAACCCCUGGUCCCCUCCAGCUGCCUCUUAAUAAAGUUAAUAGUGAUAAA
Vombatus ursinus (common wombat) is the source of this 529-nucleotide long non-coding RNA. RefSeq lists it as uncharacterized. Lineage: Eukaryota; Metazoa; Chordata; Mammalia; Diprotodontia; Vombatidae. The transcript is spliced from 4 exons. The record is from RefSeq and is a predicted model, not a curated record.